CAGCAGCCGCGGUAAUACGUAGGGUGCAAGCGUUGUCCGGAAUUAUUGGGCGUAAAGAGCUCGCUAGGCGGUCUGUUACGUCGGCUGUUGAAAACCUGGGGCUCAACUCCGGGCCUGCAGCCGAUACGGGCAGACUAGAGUUCGGCAGGGGAGACUGGAAUUCCUGGUGUAGCGGUGAAAUGCGCAGAUAUCAGGAGGAACACCGGUGGCGAAGGCGGGUCUCUGGGCCGAAACUGACGCUGAGGAGCGAAAGCGUGGGGAGCAAACAGGAUUAGAUACCCUGGUAGUCCACGCCGUAAACGUUGGGCGCUAGGUGUGGGCCUCAUUCCACGAGGUCCGUGCCGCAGCUAACGCAUUAAGCGCCCCGCCUGGGGAGUACGGCCGCAAGGCUAAAACUCAAAGAAAUUGACGG
RNAcentral lists this ribosomal RNA (412 nucleotides) under uncultured bacterium. RNAcentral's name for it is "bacterial SSU rRNA". It matches the Rfam family "Bacterial small subunit ribosomal RNA", at positions 509 to 916 of the family's 1533-position model. The record is from RNAcentral.